Molecule: long non-coding RNA, 819 nt
Organism: Ictidomys tridecemlineatus (thirteen-lined ground squirrel)
Lineage: Eukaryota; Metazoa; Chordata; Mammalia; Rodentia; Sciuridae
Source: RefSeq, a predicted model, not a curated record
GCCCGGGAAGGGCAAGGAAGGGACUCUGUCUCUCACCUCGGGCUGGUCGCUGAAGAGGCUAAGUCGGAAGCGGCCGCGUUUGAACUCCAUCUCCAGGGCGGAGCCCCUGGCCACUGUGACCCGGCUCCGGUGAUUUCGGAAUGCCAAAAGGGACAGAAGGAAAUGGCAGAGUAUUAACUUUCAGACCACAUAUGAAGUGUCUCCUGGAGGCUUUGGAACUUACUGGGGAGAACUUGAGAGAAGUCUGCCAAUCCUAAUUCACAACACUUGUGCAAUCCUGGAUUCAAUUCUCCGGCACCUCCUAGUUGGAACCCAGUAAGCUGGGAGUGUGAGAGAAGGAGAGGAAGAGGUUAAUCCCUAAAGAAUGUUCCAGAUACUAUUACCAAAAGGUGAGGGAAAGGAUGAUGGACAUCAACAAACAUCCUCUAUGCAUAAAAAUUUACAUGAAGAAUGGACUUCUAUUCUCGGCGAACACAACAUCUUUGCUGGUAUGUGGUGCUGAGGAUCGAACCUGGGGCCGCAGGCAUGCCAGACGAGCGUGCUACCGCUUGAGCCACAUCCCCAGCCCGAAAAGAAAUUUUUUAAAAGUGUAUUUCUAAAAAGCCCAUGGCACCUGAGGUAAACCUCAAAGGAUUCGUGAAGGGAAAGAAGAAAACAUUUUUUCUUAAUUUCUUCAAAUAUCAACUAUCACUCCUUUAAGCUGUAAGCUCAGCAGGGAAGGACAGUCUGUUGUCCAGUUUUAUCCCCAGUGCCUGGCAUACAUCAAGUGCUCAAUAAACAUCUGUUGAAGUAAAUAAAAGAAGCAAGCAGAUUUGAGAA